GAUGAACGCUAGCUACAGGCUUAACACAUGCAAGUCGAGGGGAAACGAUGAGAGAGCUUGCUCUCUUAGUCGUCGACCGGCGCACGGGUGAGUAACGCGUAUCCAACCUGCCUCUGACCAAGGGAUAACCCGUCGAAAGUCGGACUAAUACCUUAUGCAGUCGUCGGAAGUCAUCUGAUGACGACGAAAGAUUUCAUCGGUGAGAGAUGGGGAUGCGUCUGAUUAGCUUGUUGGCGGGGUAACGGCCCACCAAGGCGACGAUCAGUAGGGGUUCUGAGAGGAAGGUCCCCCACAUUGGAACUGAGACACGGUCCAAACUCCUACGGGAGGCAGCAGUGGGGAAUAUUGGUCAAUGGGCGUAAGCCUGAACCAGCCAAGUAGCGUGCAGGAUGACGGCCCUAUGGGUGGUAAACUGCUUUUAUGCGGGGAUAAAGUGAGGGACGUGUCCUUCAUUGCAGGUACCGCAUGAAUAAGGACCGGCUAAUUCCGUG
Molecule: ribosomal RNA, 491 nt
Filed under: uncultured bacterium
Lineage: Bacteria
Description: partial 16S ribosomal RNA
Rfam family: Bacterial small subunit ribosomal RNA
Source: RNAcentral